AGCGAACGCUGGCGGCAGGCCUAACACAUGCAAGUCGAGCGCCCCGCAAGGGGAGCGGCAGACGGGAGAGUAACACGUGGGAACGUGCCCUUUGGUUCGGAACAACCCAGGGAAACUUGGGCUAAUACCGGAUAAGCCCUCACGGGGAAAGAUUUAUCGCCGAAGGAUCGGCCCGCGUCUGAUUAGCUAGUUGGUGGGGUAAUGGCCCACCAAGGCGACGAUCAGUAGCUGGUCUGAGAGGAUGAUCAGCCUCACUGGGACUGAGACACGGCCCAGACUCCUACGGGAGGCAGCAGUGGGGAAUAUUGGACAAUGGGCGCAAGCCUGAUCCAGCCAUGCCGCGUGGGUGAUGAAGGCCCUAGGGUUGUAAAGCCCUUUCGGCGGGGAAGAUAAUGACGGUACCCGCAGAAGAAGCCCCGGCUAACUUCGUGCCAGCAGCAGCCGCCG
Molecule: ribosomal RNA, 447 nt
Filed under: uncultured bacterium
Lineage: Bacteria
Description: partial 16S ribosomal RNA
Rfam family: Bacterial small subunit ribosomal RNA
Source: RNAcentral